Molecule: ribosomal RNA, 433 nt
Filed under: uncultured bacterium
Lineage: Bacteria
Description: partial 16S ribosomal RNA
Rfam family: Bacterial small subunit ribosomal RNA
Source: RNAcentral
AACGAACGCUGGCGGCAUGCCUAACACAUGCAAGUCGAACGAGACAUUCGGGUCUAGUGGCGCACGGGUGCGUAACGCGUGGGAACCUGCCCUUAGAUUCGGAAUGACGCCCCGGAAGAGGUGCUAAUACCGGAUAAUGUCCUCGGUCCAAAGAUUUAUCGCCUUUGGAUGGGCCCGCGUUGGAUUAGCUAGUUGGUAGGGUAAAAGCCUACCAAUGCGACGAUCCAUAGCUGGUCUGAGAGGAUGAUCAGCCACACUGGGACUGAGACACGGCCCAGACUCCUACGGGAGGCAGCAGUGGGGAAUAUUGGACAAUGGGCGAAAGCCUGAUCCAGCAAUGCCGCGUGAGUGAUGAAGGCCUUAGGGUUGUAAAGCUCUUUUACCCGGGAUGAUAAUGACAGUACCGGGAGAAUAAGCUCCGGCUAACUCCGUG